ACGCUGGCGGCAGGCCUAACACAUGCAAGUCGAGCGGAUGAGAGGAGCUUGCUCCUUAAUUCAGCGGCGGACGGGUGAGUAAUGCCUAGGAAUCUGCCUGGUAGUGGGGGACAACGUUUCGAAAGGAACGCUAAUACCGCAUACGUCCUACGGGAGAAAGCAGGGGACCUUCGGGCCUUGCGCUAUCAGAUGAGCCUAGGUCGGAUUAGCUAGUUGGUGAGGUAAUGACUCACCAAGGCGACGAUCCGUAACUGGUCUGGGAGGAUGAUCAGUCACACUGGAACUGAGACACGGUCCAGACUCCUACGGGAGGCAGCAGUGGGGAAUAUUGGACAAUGGGCGAAAGCCUGAUCCAGCCAUGCCGCGUGUGUGAAGAAGGCCGUAGGAUUGUAAAGCACUUUAAGUUGAGGAGGAAGGCGCAGUAAAUUAAUAGCUGCAGCUGAUUUGACGUUACUCGACAGAAGAAGCACCGGCUAACUCCGUGCCAGCAGCCGCGGUAAUACAGAGGGUGCAAGCGUUAAUCGGAAUUACUGGGCGUAAAGCGCACGCAGGCGGUUCGUUAAGUCAGAUGUGAAAUCCCCGAGCUCAACCUGGGAACUGCAUUCAAAACUGGCAAGCUAGAGUAUGGUAGAGGGGGGUAGAAUUUCCAGGUGUAGCGGUGAAAUGCGUAGAGAUCUGGAGGAAUACCGGUGGCGAAGGCGGCCCCCUGGACAAAGACUGACGCUCAGGUGCGAAAGCGUGGGGAGCAAAC
RNAcentral lists this ribosomal RNA (751 nucleotides) under uncultured bacterium. RNAcentral describes it as "bacterial SSU rRNA". It matches the Rfam family "Bacterial small subunit ribosomal RNA", at positions 33 to 773 of the family's 1533-position model. The record is from RNAcentral.